GCUGCACUCACCUAACCCUAGAGGCUGGGCCAUCUUUCUCUCAUUGCACCCGCGGUCUGUCUUUCUGGUCAGCUUCCAGACUCGGGAGAGAAAGAGAAUCCAAGAAACUGACUGCAGUACCGAUUCCAUCUACAGGACGGAGGUAAAAGUCCGCGGAGACGAUGUAAAAGUCGUGUCGCGCAUAUCCCUCUGUCCAAGUGUCAUGGCUGGUUCGUGGCUUGGUGUGUGGUGUGUGCGGCAAUGUUCGUUGACAUUGCUUCGUCUUGUUUACAGCAAAAGACAGCUUUUGAACCCAGUGAACGUUGCUCUCCGUGUCAGAGUUGACUCUGGAGAGGUUC
RNAcentral lists this non-coding RNA (338 nucleotides) under Rapana venosa (veined rapa whelk). Lineage: Eukaryota; Metazoa; Mollusca; Gastropoda; Neogastropoda; Muricidae. The record is from RNAcentral.